RNAcentral lists this ribosomal RNA (1356 nucleotides) under uncultured bacterium. RNAcentral describes it as "bacterial SSU rRNA". It matches the Rfam family "Bacterial small subunit ribosomal RNA", at positions 28 to 1381 of the family's 1533-position model. The record is from RNAcentral.
AUUGAACGCUGGCGGCAGGCUUAACACAUGCAAGUCGAACGAUGAUUUCCCAGCUUGCUGGGAAUGAUUAGUGGCGGACGGGUGAGUAACAUUUAGGAAUCUGCCUAGUAGUGGGGGAUAGCUCGGGGAAACUCGAAUUAAUACCGCAUACGACCUACGGGUGAAAGGGGGCGCAAGCUCUUGCUAUUAGAUGAGCCUAAAUCAGAUUAGCUAGUUGGUGGGGUAAAGGCCCACCAAGGCGACGAUCUGUAACUGGUCUGAGAGGAUGAUCAGUCACACCGGAACUGAGACACGGUCCGGACUCCUACGGGAGGCAGCAGUGGGGAAUAUUGGACAAUGGGGGCAACCCUGAUCCAGCCAUGCCGCGUGUGUGAAGAAGGCCUUUUGGUUGUAAAGCACUUUAAGCAGGGAGGAGAGGCUAAUGGUUAAUACCCAUUAGAUUAGACGUUACCUGCAGAAUAAGCACCGGCUAACUCUGUGCCAGCAGCCGCGGUAAUACAGAGGGUGCGAGCGUUAAUCGGAAUUACUGGGCGUAAAGCGAGUGUAGGUGGCUCAUUAAGUCACAUGUGAAAUCCCCGGGCUUAACCCUGGGAACUGCAUGUGAUACUGGUGGUGCUAGAAUAUGUGAGAGGGAAGUAGAAUUCCAGGUGUAGCGGUGAAAUGCGUAGAGAUCUGGAGGAAUACCGAUGGCGAAGGCAGCUUCCUGGCAUAAUAUUGACACUGAGAUUCGAAAGCGUGGGUAGCAAACAGGAUUAGAUACCCUGGUAGUCCACGCCGUAAACGAUGUCUACUAGCCGUUGGGGCCCUUGAGACUUUAGUGGCGCAGUUAACGCGAUAAGUAGACCGCCUGGGGAGUACGGCCGCAAGGUUAAAACUCAAAUGAAUUGACGGGGGCCCGCACAAGCGGUGGAGCAUGUGGUUUAAUUCGAUGCAACGCGAAGAACCUUACCUGGUCUUGACAUAGUGAGAAUCCUGCAGAGAUGCGGGAGUGCCUUCGGGAAUUCACAUACAGGUGCUGCAUGGCUGUCGUCAGCUCGUGUCGUGAGAUGUUGGGUUAAGUCCCGCAACGAGCGCAAUCCUUUUCCUUAUUUGCCAGCGGGUUAAGCCGGGAACUUUAAGGAUACUGCCAGUGACAAACUGGAGGAAGGCGGGGACGACGUCAAGUCGUCAUGGCCCUUACGACCAGGGCUACACACGUGCUACAAUGGUAGGUACAGAGGGUUGCUACACAGCGAUGUGAUGCUAAUCUCAAAAAGCCUAUCGUAGUCCGGAUUGGAGUCUGCAACUCGACUCCAUGAAGUCGGAAUCGCUAGUAAUCGCAGAUCAGAAUGCUGCGGUGAAUAAGGUCCCGGGCCU